AAUACACGCAACGCGUGUUUACAAAAAAGCACAAUCGUGUAAAUAUUGCAAAAUGUUUGUACAAAAUAAAUGACUGUUUCAUGUUGAAAGAGUGGACAUGAUCUAAAUUAAUCAUACAGAACUUUUUAGUGACGUUCUAUUUCAGUACCCUGCCAUUGUUUCUGGUGGGCUGUCCGUGUGCAUUCGAUCUGAAACAGUUGCUACUUUGCUGUCGAAGAAUUUCGAAUGUUUACAUGAAAAUAGAGGCAAGUCAUGCAUUUUACAACCUCUUAAACUGUAUGAGCCCCUAUUUUUACGCUUAUACCUAAGAUAUCAAAUAAAAGUACAUGAAACAGAGAACAUUUGUAGAAAGUUUUAUCGUGAGGCCACGGCCAGUUUUUAAAAUAUCUUUAUUUCUGUUCCGGUCAUCACCAAAAUUACACAAAAGCCGGACUUGAACAUACAACAAAUUUUGAAUCGCAUCAAGCACAAAAAUACUUAACGUGUAACCAAAAUAUGCUCAUGAAAUCGAAAUUAAUAGCUAAAUUUUCAAACUAGACCCUUAUCGAAGCGGUUUUCAUGAAGGAAGUUCACAUUUCGGCCUUUGAUUCUUGGCAAAAAUUUGACCACAACACGUGCGAAGCAACUGGGUCUCAAAGACUGAACUAAAACAUUGUGAGCCCCUAUUUUCCUGACGAUAUGUUUGAUACCUACAAACGCCGAAAACUUUUUUCUUUUCAUUUAGCUAUAUUUGAAAUUGAGGCCACGGG
Molecule: non-coding RNA, 749 nt
Organism: Paramuricea clavata
Lineage: Eukaryota; Metazoa; Cnidaria; Anthozoa; Malacalcyonacea; Plexauridae
Source: the annotation of a GenBank genome assembly